UUAUUGGAGAGUUUGAUCCUGGCUCAGGACGAACGCUGGCGGCGUGCUAAACACAUGCAAGUCGAGCGGUAAGGCCCUUCGGGGUACACGAGCGGCGAACGGGUGAGUAACACGUGGGUAACCUGCCCUGUACUCCGGGAUAAGCCUGGGAAACURGGUCUAAUACCGGUUACGACGUUCCAUCGCAUGGUGUGGGGUGGAAAGUUCCGGCGGUAUGGGAUGGACCCGGGCCUAUCAGCUUGUUGGUGGGGUGAUGGCCUACCAAGGCGACGACGGGGUAGCCGGCCUGAGAGGGUGACCGGCCACACUGGGACUGAGACACGGCCCAGACUCCUACGGGAGGCAGCAGUGGGGAAUUAUUGCACAAUGGGCGAAAGCCUAAUGCAGCGACGCCGCGUGAGGGAUGACGGCCUUCGGGUUGUAAACCUCUUUCAGCAGGGACGAAGCGYGAGUGACGGUACCUGCAGAAAGAAGCACCGGCUAACUACGUGCCAGCAGCCGCGGUAAUACGUAGGGUGCSAGCGUUGUCCGGAAUUAUUGGGCGUUAAGAGCUCGUAGGCGGUUUGUUGCGUCGGCCGUGAAAACUUCACGCUUAACGUGGAGCCUGCGGUCGAUACGGGCAGACUUGAGUUCGGCAGGGGAGACUGGAAUUCCUGGUUGUAGCGGUGAAAUCGCCAGAUAUCAGGAGGAACACCGGUGGCGAAGGCGGGUCUCUGGGCCGAUACUGACGCUGAGGAGCGAAAGCGUGGGGAGCGAACAGGAUUAGAUACCCUGGUAGUCCACGCCGUAAAACGGUGGGUGCUAGGUGUGGGGGGCUUCCACGUCCUCCGUGCCGCAGCUAACGCAUUAAGCACCCCGCCUGGGGAGUACGGCCGCAAGGCUAAAACUCAAAGGAAUUGACGGGGGCCCGCACAAGCGGCGGAGCAUGUGGAUAAUUCGAUGCAACGCGAAGAACCUUACCUGGGCUUGACAUGCACCGGAAACCUCCAGAGAUGGGGGCCUCCUUGGACUGGUGUACAGGUGGUGCAUGGGCUGUCGUCAGCUCGUGUCGUGAGAUGUUGGGUUAAGUCCCGCAAACGAGCGCAACCCUCGUUCCAUGUUGCCAGCGCGUAAUGGCGGGGACUCAUGGGAGACUGCCGGGGUCAACUCGGAGGAAGGUGGGGAUGACGUCAAGUCAUCAUGCCGCCUUAUGUCCAGGGCUUCACACAUGCUACAAUGGCCGGUACAGAGGGCUGCUAAGCCGUGAGGUGGAGCGAAUCCCAGAAAGCCGGUCUCAGUUCGGAUCGGGGUCUGCAACUCGACCCCGUGAAGUCGGAGUCGCUAGUAAUCGCAGAUCAGCAACGCUGCGGUGAAUACGUUCCCGGGCCUUGUACACACCGCCCGUCAAGUCACGAAAGUCGGUAACACCCGAAGCCCGUGGCCCAACCCGUAAGGGCGGGAGCGGUCGAAGGUGGGACUGGCGA
Molecule: ribosomal RNA, 1463 nt
Filed under: Saccharothrix sp. 99-08-243A
Lineage: Bacteria; Bacillati; Actinomycetota; Actinomycetes; Pseudonocardiales; Pseudonocardiaceae
Description: 16S ribosomal RNA
Rfam family: Bacterial small subunit ribosomal RNA
Source: RNAcentral